RNAcentral lists this non-coding RNA (30 nucleotides) under Rattus norvegicus (Norway rat). Lineage: Eukaryota; Metazoa; Chordata; Mammalia; Rodentia; Muridae. The record is from RNAcentral.
GCCACAAAGCUGUCCCCUAGGUGUAUUUGG